RNAcentral lists this ribosomal RNA (253 nucleotides) under uncultured bacterium. RNAcentral's name for it is "partial 16S ribosomal RNA". It matches the Rfam family "Bacterial small subunit ribosomal RNA", at positions 524 to 776 of the family's 1533-position model. The record is from RNAcentral.
UACGUAGGGGGCAAGCGUUGUUCGGAAUUACUGGGCGUAAAGGGCGCGUAGGCGGCACAGCAAGUCGGGAGUGAAAGCCCGGGGCUCAACCCCGGAAUGGCUUUCGAAACUGCUGAGCUAGAGUACAGAAGGGGCAACCGGAAUUCCCAGUGUAGCGGUGAAAUGCGUAGAUAUUGGGAAGAACACCUGAGGCGAAGGCGGGUUGCUGGGCUGAUACUGACGCUGAGGCGCGAAAGCUAGGGGAGCAAACAGG